RNAcentral lists this microRNA precursor (125 nucleotides) under Gossypium arboreum. RNAcentral's name for it is "MIR7502 microRNA precursor family". It matches the Rfam family "MIR7502 microRNA precursor family". The record is from Rfam by way of RNAcentral. Lineage: Eukaryota; Viridiplantae; Streptophyta; Magnoliopsida; Malvales; Malvaceae.
UAUUAAAAACUCUAUUCAUUUGUACUGUUAACUAACCAAACAGUGACAUAUGGCAUGUCACGUGCACCUCAUGCUAACAUACAGGAAUCAAUUUUUAACAAUAUAAAUAGAUGUGAUUUUUAAUA